GAUGAACGCUGGCGGCGUGCCUAAUACAUGCAAGUCGAGCGAACAGACGAGGAUCUUGCUCCUCUUACGUUAGCGGCGGACGGGUGAGUAACACGUGGCUAACCUACCUAUAAGACUGGGAUAACUUCGGGAAACCGGAGCUAAUACCGGAUAAUAUAUUGAACCGCAUGGUUCAAUAGUGAAAGACGGUUUUGCUGUCACUUAUAGAUGUAUCCGCGCCGCAUUAGCUAGUUGGUAAGGUAACGGCUUACCAAGGCAACGAUGCGUAGCCGACCUGAGAGGGUGAUCGGCCACACUGGAACUGAGACACGGUCCAGACUCCUACGGGAGGCAGCAGUAGGGAAUCUUCCGCAAUGGGCGAAAGCCUGACGGAGCAACGCCGCGUGAGUGAUGAAGGUCUUCGGAUCGUAAAACUCUGUUAUUAGGGAAGAACAAAUGUGUAAGUAACUAUGCACGUCUUGACGGUACCUAAUCAGAAAGCCACGGCUAACUACGUG
Molecule: ribosomal RNA, 497 nt
Filed under: uncultured bacterium
Lineage: Bacteria
Description: partial 16S ribosomal RNA
Rfam family: Bacterial small subunit ribosomal RNA
Source: RNAcentral